This 460-nucleotide ribosomal RNA is filed under the name uncultured bacterium. RNAcentral describes it as "partial 16S ribosomal RNA". It matches the Rfam family "Bacterial small subunit ribosomal RNA", at positions 338 to 795 of the family's 1533-position model. The record is from RNAcentral.
CCUACGGGAGGCAGCAGUGAGGAAUAUUGGUCAAUGGGCGGAAGCCUGAACCAGCCAAGUCGCGUGAGGGAAUAAGGCCCUACGGGUCGUAAACUUCUUUUGCCGGGGAGCAAGGGCGGGGACGUGUCCCGGCCCGGAGAGUACCCGGAGAAAAAGCAUCGGCUAACUCCGUGCCAGCGGCCGCGGUAAUAAGGAGGAUGCGAGCUUUAUCCGGAUUUUUUGGGUUAAAAGGGUGCGUAGGCGGGCGUUUAAGUCGGCGGUAAACAUUCGGGGUUCAACCCCGUCCUGCCGGUGAAACUGGGGGCCUUGAGUGGGCGGGAAGAAGGCGGAAUGCGUGGUGUAGCGGUGAAAUGCAUAGAUAUCACGCAGAACCCCGAUUGCGAAGGCAGCCUUCCGGCGCCCUACUGACGCUGAGGCACGAAAGUGCGGGGAUCGAACAGGAUUAGAUACCCCAGUAGUC